AGGAGACAGCAGCCCAGUCAUAGCAGGAACCUCUCAGACAGCCCGGCGGCCUUCCUUCGCACCUGACGUGGAUUCUCAUUCCCGGACAUCCAAAAGAUAAGUCGAGGGCCAUGACUCACAGAGGGGCUGGAAGGGGGCCGCCGCGUCAGGUCCCACCGGGAGGGAUUUUUGAGUCAGCUUUGGAGCUGAGGAUAUCCAGGAUAUGUCAUCUUAAGACCACAUGAAAGCAAAGCGUCACUUUUGAACCCAGCGCCGAGACGCACAGGGCAGAGCGGUUCCGGCACGUGUCAUGUCAUAUGGGUGUUGUGCCUUGUGUGUCAUUUAGCUGUCUCUUGUCUCUUCCCUUAGCCCUUUGAGGGGCCUAUCAGAAACCCCGGCAUCCUUUUCAGCAUCUGCGAUCUCUGCGUUUCUCGGUCUGGCACCAAUGCCGUAGGACUUUUGACUCAGGAGCUGAGACAGGGAUCAGAACCGCACCUCUCUUUAGAAGCAUCCAGUCAGAUGUCUUUGACGACGGACAGCUGCGCCCCGCAAGGAUCCAUUAUUGCGGAUUAGGACUCGUAAGAAGAUGCAGAUGGAUAAAAUCCAUAGCAGAGCACCCCAUCCCAGGCAAUCCAUGUGGAGUACACAUAACUCGCCGUCAGACACUGGCCGACGGACCGUGAUUGUUGUUUUUUGGAGCCAUGUGGAAGUAUUACAGGACUCGGCGAUGAAGCCUCUGCCUUUUCGAUUUAAAGGAGUCACCCGGAGAGACUUUGGCAACGCCGAGGAGUCACGGCGAGUCGGG
Long non-coding RNA from Passer domesticus (house sparrow), 784 nucleotides. RefSeq lists it as uncharacterized. The transcript has 3 exons. Lineage: Eukaryota; Metazoa; Chordata; Aves; Passeriformes; Passeridae. The record is from RefSeq and is a predicted model, not a curated record.